AAUAUUUGAUUCAUUUCUCUCUCCUCUAACUCUCUCUCUUGCCAGCAGACGCGAAGAAGCACAAGCAGAAAAGAAAAAAUUGUGCAGAAUUCUCUCCUCUAACUCUCUCUCUCUCGCUCGCGGAAGGCUCCGACUCCGUCGGCACAGCUUCACUCCGAAGCCAUUAACAGAUUCUAGUUAUUCUUAGAUAUAGGAUUAUAGACAUUCUCAAGGAAAGAGUUGCUAAAGAACAAAUGGUUCUUAUCUAUGGACUCCUCCAAUUGGGGUGAUCAAGAUUAAUUUUGACGGGACUGUUUUUGCGACCGACGGUGAAACGGGGACUGGUGUGGUAGCUCGAGAUGGAAAUGGAACAGUGGUCGCUGGCUCUCCCAUCGACAGAAAAGUUAUGCCGAUCCUGAAUUAGGGGAAGUACUAACAGCUACGGAAGCGGCAGACUUGGUAAGGUAGGAAUUGGUCACAAAUUAUUUUGGAGGGUGACUGUCUCCAAAUGACCUCCAAACUGAGAUCUCAUGCUCAUGAUUUAUCUUCUGUUGAUUUCUGACAUCCUUACUUUACUUAGUUUUUGCUCUUCUAUUUCAUUUAGUCAUGUUAACCGUGAUUGUAAUGGCUUAACUUACAAAAUCGCUCGCCAUGAACACACCCAGCUUGAGGGGUCUGUUUUUCAGUUGGUGAUGCUCAGUGUUUUUCUCUGAGUGACUCGGACUUGGCUUAAUUCAAUAUAUUGAUUUCCCUUCAAAACAAAAGUAU
This is a long non-coding RNA of Sesamum indicum (sesame), 747 nucleotides long. RefSeq lists it as uncharacterized. Lineage: Eukaryota; Viridiplantae; Streptophyta; Magnoliopsida; Lamiales; Pedaliaceae. The record is from RefSeq and is a predicted model, not a curated record.